Molecule: transfer RNA, 76 nt
Filed under: Sphingobacteriales bacterium
Lineage: Bacteria; Pseudomonadati; Bacteroidota; Sphingobacteriia; Sphingobacteriales
Description: tRNA-Ala
Rfam family: tRNA
About the family: Transfer RNA (tRNA) molecules are approximately 80 nucleotides in length. Their secondary structure includes four short double-helical elements and three loops (D, anti-codon, and T loops).
Source: RNAcentral
GGGGGAUUAGCUCAGCUGGUAGAGCGCUUGCAUGGCAUGCAAGAGGCCAUCGGUUCGAAUCCGUUAUCCUCCACAA